GCAAGUCGAACGGCAGCACGGACUUCGGUUUGGUGGCGAGUGGCGAACGGGUGAGUAAUAUAUCGGAACGUGCCUAGUAGCGGGGGAUAACUACGCGAAAGCGUGGCUAAUACCGCAUACGCCCUAAGGGGGAAAGCGGGGGAUCUUCGGACCUCGCACUAUUGGAGUGGCCGAUAUCGGAUUAGCUAGUUGGUGGGGUAAUGGCUCACCAAGGCGACGAUCCGUAGCUGGUUUGAGAGGACGAUC
RNAcentral lists this ribosomal RNA (246 nucleotides) under uncultured bacterium. RNAcentral's name for it is "partial 16S ribosomal RNA". It matches the Rfam family "Bacterial small subunit ribosomal RNA", at positions 57 to 305 of the family's 1533-position model. The record is from RNAcentral.